AUUGAACGCUGGCGGCAGGCCUAUCACAUGCAAGUCGAACGAGUGGCGGACGGGUGAGUAAUGUCUGGGAAACUGCCCGAUGGAGGGGGAUAACUACUGGAAACGGUAGCUAAUACCGCAUACCAGUGGAUGUGCCCAAAUGGGAUUUGCUAGUAGGUGGGGUAACGGAUCUACAAGGCGACGAUCCCUAGCUGGUCUGAGAGGAUGAACGGCCACACUGGGACUGUGACACGGCCCAGACUCCUACGGGAGGCAGCAGUGGUGAAUAUUGCACAAUGGGCGCAAGCCUGAUGCAGCCAUGCCGCGUGUAUGAAGAAGGCCUUCGGGUUGUAAAGUACUUUCAGCGAGGAGGCGUUACUCGCAGAGGAAGCAUCGGCUAACUCCGUGCCAGCAGCCGCGGUAAUUC
RNAcentral lists this ribosomal RNA (406 nucleotides) under uncultured bacterium. Its description in RNAcentral is "partial 16S ribosomal RNA". It matches the Rfam family "Bacterial small subunit ribosomal RNA", at positions 30 to 526 of the family's 1533-position model. The record is from RNAcentral.